This 308-nucleotide ribosomal RNA is filed under the name uncultured bacterium. RNAcentral's name for it is "partial 16S ribosomal RNA". It matches the Rfam family "Bacterial small subunit ribosomal RNA", at positions 505 to 807 of the family's 1533-position model. The record is from RNAcentral.
GAGACAGCAGUAGCCGCGGGAAUACGGAGGGCGCGAGCGUUACCCGGAUUUACUGGGCGUAAAGGGCGUGUAGGCGGCCUGGGGCGUCCCAUGUGAAAGGCCACGGCUCAACCGUGGAGGAGCGUGGGAUACGCUCAGGCUAGAGGGUGGGAGAGGGUGGUGGAAUUCCCGGGGUAGCGGUGAAAUGCGCAGAUACCGGGAGGAACGCCGAUGGUGAAGGCAGCCACCUGGUCCACUUCUGACGCUGAGGCGCGAAAGCGUGGGGAGCAAACCGGAUUAGAUACCCGUGUAGUCCCUGUCUCUUAUAC